AUACGGAGGAUCCGAGCGUUAUCCGGAUUUAUUGGGUUUAAAGGGAGCGUAGGCGGACGCUUAAGUCAGUUGUGAAAGUUUGCGGCUCAACCGUAAAAUUGCAGUUGAUACUGGGUGUCUUGAGUACAGUAGAGGCAGGCGGAAUUCGUGGUGUAGCGGUGAAAUGCUUAGAUAUCACGAAGAACUCCGAUUGCGAAGGCAGCCUGCUGGACUGUAACUGACGCUGAUGCUCGAAAGUGUGGGUAUCAAACAGGAUUAGAUACCCUGGUAGUCCACACAGUAAACGAUGAAUACUCGCUGUUUGCGAUAUACAGUAAGCGGCCAAGCGAAAGCGUUAAGUAUUCCACCUGGGGAGUACGCCGGCAACGGUGAAACUCAAAUGAAUUGGCGGGG
RNAcentral lists this ribosomal RNA (393 nucleotides) under uncultured bacterium. RNAcentral's name for it is "partial 16S ribosomal RNA". It matches the Rfam family "Bacterial small subunit ribosomal RNA", at positions 523 to 918 of the family's 1533-position model. The record is from RNAcentral.